Molecule: transfer RNA, 84 nt
Filed under: Trametes sanguinea
Lineage: Eukaryota; Fungi; Basidiomycota; Agaricomycetes; Polyporales; Polyporaceae
Description: tRNA-Gln
Rfam family: tRNA
About the family: Transfer RNA (tRNA) molecules are approximately 80 nucleotides in length. Their secondary structure includes four short double-helical elements and three loops (D, anti-codon, and T loops).
Source: RNAcentral
GGCACUAUAGUGUAGCGGUUAUCACUUGGGAUUCUGAUUAUCCAGUUGGUUCCCAAAACCCAGGUUCGAUUCCUGGUAGUGCCU